CAAACUGGAGAUGGCGACCGGCGCACGGGUGAGUAACACGUAUCCAACCUGCCGAUAACUCGGGGAUAGCCUUUCGAAAGAAAGAUUAAUACCCGAUGGUAUAAUUAGACCGCAUGGUCUUGUUAUUAAAGAAUUUCGGUUAUCGACGGGGAUGCGUUCCAUUAGGCAGUUGGUGAGGUAACGGCUCACCAAACCUUCGAUGGAUAGGGGUUCUGAGAGGAAGGUCCCCCACAUUGGAACUGAGACACGGUCCAA
RNAcentral lists this ribosomal RNA (255 nucleotides) under uncultured bacterium. RNAcentral's name for it is "partial 16S ribosomal RNA". It matches the Rfam family "Bacterial small subunit ribosomal RNA", at positions 77 to 334 of the family's 1533-position model. The record is from RNAcentral.